Molecule: long non-coding RNA, 1318 nt
Organism: Episyrphus balteatus (marmalade hoverfly)
Lineage: Eukaryota; Metazoa; Arthropoda; Insecta; Diptera; Syrphidae
Exons: 3
Source: RefSeq, a predicted model, not a curated record
AAACGGGGUUGCACCCACACACUUGCAACUUUUUGUGUAUGAACACAAAGUCGAAGGAGAAAUCGUGGUGAAAAAACCAAUACAUAUUAAAUCGGCUCCGCGGUGAUUAUAAUUUCCAUACUAAUUUGAGCCGCCUUCGGACCCGUUUCUGAGCCGAAGUCGGACUCAGCUCCGUCUGAGGCGGAGCGGAUUCGGACCGAGGUCGGACUUGUUUGCUUGAAGGGAUAUUACUAUUUUUUUCGCAAAACUAAGGUGAGUUGACAUACAACCCUAUAAUUCUCAGCCAGCGAUAUGAUAAUAGGACAUACUAGAAGAUUGCAGAACUCAAUUUAAAUUUUUGUCGCCAACUUACUGGCCUUCCGAUACUAACAAAAUACCAGACCUUAUUGACUUUUUCGUAGCUAGAGGAAUCAAACGAAAUCACAUUAGUGUCGAAGGUAAUUAUGACCUGUCAUCAGAUCAUACUCCAGUGAUUCUAGCACUAAGGGCCAGUUGUACAAACGUGGUUCAGCCUCGGAUCAGGAACUUAACCCACCGAUUUCGGUGGAUUUGCUGCGGGUCAACUGUGGUUCAAGCAUGAAUGUGGCUAUUUCUACUUAUAUGAACCUUGAACCAGUGCUAAACUUCAGCCUUGCUACCGAUUUCAGAAGAUAAAAGUUGAUGAUCCACGGAUUAAAUAUUUGAACAACUGGCCCUAAGUGAAUCGGAACGGAAGUAAUAGAAAAAAGUAACCCAAAGCUUAUAAAUAAGAAAACAAACUGGAGUGAUUUUAGAGAAAGGCUUUUAAGUUUUAUAAAUUUAAGAUCUCCCAUGGAUACAAUCGAGCAAAUUGACCAUGAAGUGGAACAAUUUAUUGCUGAUGUGCAACAGGGCGGUGAAAAAAAUAAGAGAGUUGAUAAUAGAGAAAAGAAGAGCUCGAAGAAAAUGGCAAAAUACUAGAUUCCCAGAUGAUAAAACAACGUUUGACCGUAUAAGCAACAAUCUUAUAGCCUUUUCACACCAAACCCAAGAACGCGGUUUAUGACAAAAAGUUUUUAAAAGCCUGAAAAGCGGUCACACUACAAGUUUACAGGCUUUUGUUUAACGUUUAAAAUGUUUUGACAUCCAAAUGUCAAGUUUUCAAUGGGAUUUAAUUUUUGUUGUUUAAAUCAGCUUGCGCUAACACAACUGGUCAAAUAAAAUGAACUCUGACAAUUUAAAUAUAAUUUUAUUUAUUUGGUCGUUAAAUUGUGUAGUUUCAUUAUAAUUUCUUCCGGAGAAUAAUAAAUUGUCCGCCCCUCAAAUUCUUUAGACAUUUUGUUGUAAAUAUGAACGUUGU